GACGAACGCUGGCGGCGUGCUUAACACAUGCAAGUCGAACGGAAAGGCCCUGCUUUUGUGGGGUGCUCGAGUGGCGAACGGGUGAGUAACACGUGAGUAACCUGCCCUUGACUUUGGGAUAACUUCAGGAAACUGGGGCUAAUACCGGAUAGGAGCUCCUGCUGCAUGGUGGGGGUUGGAAAGUUUCGGCGGUUGGGGAUGGACUCGCGGCUUAUCAGCUUGUUGGUGGGGUAGUGGCUUACCAAGGCUUUGACGGGUAGCCGGCCUGAGAGGGUGACCGGCCACAUUGGGACUGAGAUACGGCCCAAACUCCUACGGGAGGCAGCAGUGGGGAAUAUUGCACAAUGGGCGGAAGCCUGAUGCAGCAACGCCGCGUGCGGGAUGACGGCCUUCGGGUUGUAAACCGCUUUCGCCUGUGACGAUGCGUGAGUGACGGUAAUGGGUAAAGAAGCACCGGCUAACUACGUG
RNAcentral lists this ribosomal RNA (468 nucleotides) under uncultured bacterium. Its description in RNAcentral is "partial 16S ribosomal RNA". It matches the Rfam family "Bacterial small subunit ribosomal RNA", at positions 28 to 507 of the family's 1533-position model. The record is from RNAcentral.